RNAcentral lists this small RNA (1098 nucleotides) under Pongo abelii (Sumatran orangutan). RNAcentral's name for it is "retained intron". The record is from RNAcentral. Lineage: Eukaryota; Metazoa; Chordata; Mammalia; Primates; Hominidae.
GCUGGGGCCCCAGAUACUGGUACAGACGGCUGCCUGGUUGUACAUGUUGUUAGCUGUGAGGAGGAGUUCCAGCAACAGAAGUUGGACCUGCUUUGGCGGAAGUUGGUUGACAAGGCUCCACUCAGACAGAAGCACCUGAUCUGUGGCCCUGUGAAAGUAGCUGGUGCACCUGGCACUCUGAUGACUGCCCCUGAGUACUACAAGUUCCGACAUGCCCAGGUGUGCAAGGCCUCAGCACUGAAGCAUGGUGGGGAUCUGGCACAAGACCCAGCCUGGACAGAGAUCUUUGGUGUUCUCUCUGUGGCCACCAUCAAGUUUGAGAUGCUGAGCACAGCCCCACGGAGUCAGCUCUUCCUGGCUCUGGCUGACAGCAGUAUCUCCACGAAGGGCACAAAGAGUGGCACCUUUGUCAUGUAUAAUUGUGCCCGUCUUGCCACACUCUUUGAGAGUUACAAGUGUAGUAUGGAACAAGGUCUGUACCCCACUUUUCCUCCUGUGAGCAGUCUGGACUUCUCACUGCUACAUGAUGAGGUGAGUGUCCCUCCCGGUAGUUGGCACAAGGAGGCCUGGACUUCCCCUCCCAGUACCUUUCUCCCCCACAGGGUGAAUGGUUGUUGCUCUUCAACAGUAUCCUCCCCUUUCCGGAUCUGCUAAGCCAGACAGCAGUGCUGGACUGCACAGCCCCGGGGCUCCACAUUGCUGCACGCACAGAGAUGGUGAGGCAUAGACAACCAGGACACUCUACACUCUAUUCUUUAUUCUGGCCUGGGGCACAAGAGCAAAGAGAUGGGCCAGUGACUCAGUCUCUGUCUCUAGAUAUGCAAGUUCCUGGUACAGCUCAGCAUGGAUUUCAGCUCCUACUACAACCGGGUACACAUCCUGGGGGAGGCUCGACCACACCUCUUUGGUCAGAUGUUCGUCCGCCUGCAGCUUCUGAGGGCUGUGCGUGAGGUGCUCCAUACUGGCCUGGCUAUGCUGGGUCUCCCUCCACUGAGCCACAUCUAAGGCCACAGAGGCUCCAAUACUUGGGAAUGUUCACAAAGUCAUCAACUGGAAAAAAAGCAAAAACCCACGGCCAAAAUAAAUUGGUACUGUUAC